CCUACGGGUGGCUGCAGUCGAGAAUCAUUCACAAUGGGGGAAACCCUGAUGGUGCGACGCCGCGUGGGGGAAUGAAGGUCUUCGGAUUGUAAACCCCUGUCAUGUGGGAGCAAAUUAAAAAGAUAGUACUCAAAGAGGAAGAGACGGCUAACUCGGUGCCCGCAGCCGCGGUAAUACAGAGGUCUCAAGAGUUGUUCGGAAUCACUGGGCGUAAUGCGUGCGUAGGCUGUUUCGUAAGUCGUAUGUGAAAGGCGCGGGCUCAACCCGCGGACGGCAAAUGAUACUGCGGAACUAGAGUAAUGGUGGGGGAAGCGGAAUUCUCGGUGUAGCAGUGAAAUGCGUAGAUAUCG
This 350-nucleotide ribosomal RNA is filed under the name uncultured bacterium. RNAcentral describes it as "partial 16S ribosomal RNA". It matches the Rfam family "Bacterial small subunit ribosomal RNA", at positions 338 to 699 of the family's 1533-position model. The record is from RNAcentral.